CUCGCGCCGCAGGCGUUAGGCAUUACUCGCAUGAUUUAAUAAUGUGAAGUGAUAUAAGAUAAAUUUCAUCCAUAGAAAAUUCUGGGAACUUUACCUUGUAGAGUUUGAAAAGUAGGGAUCAAUUCGUACACCAUCCUUAUACCAUUCAAAAGUAACAUUUGCACCAUUCCCAAAAGCAAGGCAAGAUAACUGGAAAUCAUCAUUUUCAAAAACUCUACUCCGAUCACUUCUAAGGUCCUAAAAAAAGGGGGAAAUGUUUUUUUUUUUACUAGGUGCAGUGCAUAAUUCUCAUGGUUCAGUAAAGUUUCUUAAAAAAAUUGAUCAACCAAGUAUAUUGUAUUGCAGACCACUUGAAUCAAUUCUUUUUCUGGAUUACAUAUUUUAGAUCAUCCUGAACUGGGGACUUAGGGGUUGAAAAGGGGAUGAACUUAGAUUUAGGAAUAUCAGUAUCAGUGCUCUUUGGGGAAAGUGCUACACCUGCAUUGUUACAUUUUGCAAUUAAUUGAUCAAUAUCAAAAAGUAUGAAAAAUUUCAGCACGGACUAAUAGCACAAAAUCCCUCAUUAACUCAUCCUUAUUAAGCAGACACCCUUUUGAAGGCAAAAAGGUUAGAGCCUUAUAUGACAUGCUAAGUUGCUCAACUGAUAAAAAGGUUCCAGAAAAAGUUUGUUUGAGAGGUAGUUGACCCCGCAAAGCUAAAAUUUCGAAAUCUUGAAAACCCCUGGGGCCUCCAAAAGGCAAGAUUAUGGGGAAGGGAGUAAAUAUACAUACAAUCAGGAGUUCUUGAAAACAUUUUAGUGUAAAACAAUCAAAAUUGCAUGGGAAGCUAACGCUUGUGUACUCAUUGUUCUUUGCUAUCUGAAAACAGGCUUAGAAUGUAAGGUUUGAAAAAAAUUGUUACACAAUUUAUGGUGCAAGAUUCACAAUUCAAGAGAUUCAACUUAAAUGACUAACUGUCAUCGAUGUAGUUUUGUUGUAUGGUGCAUAGAAAAUUUUUCAAAAAUCAUGACUAGAUGGCUUACUUUUAAGACUAAUUCAUCCAUCUUAAAAAAUGUUAUCCAGGCAGAUCCCCGAAGUUCUCUGGAAUUUUUCAUUACUUUCAUGCAUUCUGUCACUACCUCACGAGAAAAAUUCCAAUCUUGUUCUUUUAUUAAAAACUGUACUUUGAAAUGGGUUCGACUGAGAACAAAAAAACAGAAGAUAGGAAUGAGAAAAAACAAUUCUGGCAAAUCUCAGAAUAAAUAUGAAAAAGUUCCUCUUUUGAGGAAAUUCACGAGAUACCUAAGUCUUACUUGUCCUAUGCAAAGAGAUCAUUAAAGUAUCCUUAUUACGUACCUCAUCUAAAGGUCUGACUUUUAAACACUGAGCAGAAUGUAUGUGUUUUGCUUUGCAUCUCCAACACUAACCAAAAUCCGACCAAAAAAGUUGGUCAACAAAGUUUUUCAAUGAUAAUAAAAUAUCAAUCAAUCAAGAGGUGUGCGUAAGUAAAAAAUUAAGAGAUGAAAUAACUUCUAGACCUUUUACACUGGCACUUGGAUAUUAUUACUGACCAAGGGUGGCCGGGAAUAUAUCUUCAGGAUGGAGCAGAAGUGGAUUAAGUUUUCUUUGUAGAUGCCAGGUCUUGGUAAAAUAACGUAUAGGGCACUUACUUACAAGGUGUGGUAUCUAACCCUUUGAUAAAACUGCCAUUCACAUUGAGAUACUUAUAAACCUGGGAAAAAAGAAAGGUGAUUAGAGGGCUAAUAGGUAACAAUACUCAAUCUAAAUGCAAAAAAAUUUGUGUCUUGUUUGAUGACGAUUUAUGAGAGGCAGAGAGGAUCAAAUGUAUUUUGGUCGAGGUGCUUAUGGACUUCCAGAAAAGAAAAUCCCUGGAGGAACCACUUUCAAGGUUCCUGCUAAAUCAAAUGAGAAAUCCUUGAAUUGUCCAAUUAAUGAUCUAUCCCAAUUUGUUAAAAUUUAUGAUAAAUUUCUUUACAUUUAUUCAAAAAUUGAUCUUUCAGUUUUUCAGUUUACCUUUCAAGGUUAUGAUAUUCCUAAAUCUUAAAUAAAACAGUUUUAAAAACCUUUACCUAGAGGUGGAGAGAAAUAGAGCAAAAGUGAAAACUGCAUGUCUGUUCUUGAAAUUUCAAACUGCAUGCUUUAGAUCAAACUUUUCUUACUGUCCUCUCCUGAUUUGCUCCAUUUUAGCUCUGCACACACCCUGACGCAAAAAUCUUCACUCAUUAAUUUGAACAAAAUAUUCAGAUAAAAAUGAGAAUAAGGCUUUUAUUACUUACUGUUAGGUUGAAACUGGCAAGAAACUGAUCCAGGGAUGUUUCAUUGUCUCGCGCAACAAGAAGAUUAGUCAUAUUGAUGACAGCAUUGAACCACUGCAUUUUAUCUGAGGAAAAAAGUUCACACAAAGCAACAAUGAAUGUGCAAUGCAGUGAAUUUUAACAAGGUACCAUGUAAAUAUGGCAAACAGCAAAAACAAAAGCUAACAAAUUUUAGGCCAAAGGACAAUCCAUACAUUUUUUUUAAUACCCCAUAUAAGGGUCCGCCUGCAGGUUUUAAUAUUUUUAAAUGUCAAUUUCAUUAACUCAUGACUAUCUCUUGGAGAAUUGAUUUUCCUGAGUAAAAAUUGCUCUUUGCCUUAGCUACAUAUGUAUCAUUCCAAAGCCAACUUAGUUUCAUCUAGAAAGUAUUGAGAGGUAGUGUCAUGCCUUACUCCUUCCUUCAUCCUUGACAAUCUUUCUUUCUGGCUAAUUGAAUUGCAGAAGUGGUUCAGUUAAGUCAACACUGAAGGGCACCUGAACAUUGGAUAAUUGGACCAAGGUAAGUGAAACGAAGGUUUGGUCUGCUGCUAAAGACCACCCAAAAUUGACAUAACUCUCAGUUGAGUUGGUUCCAUUCAAGUCUUGGCUGGAAGUUUGGAACAAAAUGCCGAUUCUGGCAUAAUUGAUUCUUAUGAGUCUCCUCGCCCCUGAGGCCUGAGGCCCUCAGGCAAGCAGGCCAAUUAGAAUCGAGUAUGACAAAAAUUACCUUUCUAUUUCAAACUUCCUGUCAAGACUGAAAUGGAACCAACUCAACUGAGCAUUUCGUUGAUUUUGAGGGCUUGAAUAAGGAAAGAGUAUAACUCCGUUAUAUUUGCUUUAUAAUUGAACUGAUUGGACAUCAUUAGCUCAACCUACUAACGGGGCGAUUGAAACAACAGAGCCCAACUUGAUGCGGGCAUGGCUGUGCUCUAUAGUGUCUGCAACAAUCCUGCACAUGACUUACUGUUGGCUUGGCACACAGCGGGUGAGCCUUGCGGUAAUAUGGUAUAAUGGUAUAUAAGUCAUUGGUAUUAGCUAAGGAGCAUGAUCCAACUUCAGGGUACAUGACAGCAAUCUUAUCACACUAUUACUACUACCACAACAACUACUACUGCUACUACUAGUACUACUACUGCUAUUACUUCUACUACCACAAAAGGAGCAACAAUAAGUAUGACGCAACAAACACUUUUUCCUCCUAUUCAAUUUUGACUUAGAUUAAUGCUUCUGCAAAUAUACUGUUACUCUUACAAAUUUGUUUACUGCGGAAAAAACCUACUAGUAAAAUUUUCCGUUACGCAGCCAAGAUUUAUUCUUGCAGGUUCUUCACAGUCUGUCAGCAGAGCACAAUUAUCUUCUGCUUCACAGCCUACAAAAAAGCAUACAAAAGCUCAAUUUAGAUACUAAUGAAAAUAUUUUAGACUUUAAUAUCAAGACUGCCUCUCCAAAAAUCAGAAUAGUAAC
This 3757-nucleotide long non-coding RNA is filed under the name Bemisia tabaci. Its description in RNAcentral is "lncRNA ENSSSA2NGG004504". The record is from RNAcentral. Lineage: Eukaryota; Metazoa; Arthropoda; Insecta; Hemiptera; Aleyrodidae.